CGCAGCCGCGGUAAUUCCAGCUCCAAUAGCGUAUAUUAAAGUUGUUGCAGUUAAAAAGCUCGUAGUUGAAUUUCGGGAUCAGUACGCUGGUCAUGCCUUUGGUAUGCACUGGUGUCACUGGUUUCUCCCUUCUGAAGAUCCGUGAUGUCAUUAAUUUGGUGUCGCGGGGAAUCAGAACUGUUACUUUGAAAAAUUAGAGUGUUUAAAGCAGGCUCACGCUUGAAUACAUUAGCAUGGAAUAAUGAAAUAGGACGUUUGAUUCUAUUUUGUAGGUUUCUAGGAUCGACGUAAUGAUUAAUAGGGAUAGUUGGGGGCAUUAGUAUUCAAUUGUCAGAGGUGAAAUUCUUGGAUUUAUUGAAGACUAACUACUGCGAAAGCAUUUGCCAAGGAUGUUUUCAUUAAUCAAGACGAAAGUUAGGGGAUCGAAGACGAUCAGAUACCGUCGUAGUCUUAACCAAUAAACUAU
RNAcentral lists this ribosomal RNA (466 nucleotides) under uncultured Glomus. RNAcentral describes it as "SSU rRNA". It matches the Rfam family "Eukaryotic small subunit ribosomal RNA", at positions 569 to 1040 of the family's 1831-position model. The record is from RNAcentral. Lineage: Eukaryota; Fungi; Glomeromycota; Glomeromycetes; Glomerales; Glomeraceae.